AUGUUCAGAAUGUAUGAUGCAACUUUGGAACCAGGAAUUAACUGUUUUAAACUCAUUCUAGUCGAGUCGUCAGUUACUUGGUCCUCUUGUUUGUCUAAACUCAUUCUAGUCGAGUCGUCAGUUACUUGGUCCUCUUGUUUGUCUAAACUCAUUCUAGUCGAGUCGUCAGUUACUUGGUCCUCUUGUUUGUCUAAACUCAUUCUAGUCGAGUCGUCAGUUACUUGGUCCUCUUGUUCGUCUAAACUCAUUCUAGUCGAGUCGUCAGUUACUUGGUCCUCUUGUUUGUCUAAACUCAUUCCUGUCGAGUCGUCAGUUACUUGGUCCUCUUGUUUGUCUAAACUCAUUCUAGUCGAGUCGUCAGUUACUUGGUCCUCUUGUUUGUCUAAACUCAUUCUAGUCGAGUCGUUAGUUACUUGGUCCUCUUGUUUGUCUAAACUCAUUCUAGUCGAGUCGUCAGUUACUUGGUCCUCUUGUUUGUCUAAACUCAUUCUAGUCGAGUCGUUAGUUACUUGGUCCUCUUGUUUGUCUAAACUCAUUCCUGUCGAGUCGUCAGUUACUUGUGCCUCUUGUUUGUCUAAACUCAUUCUGGUCGAGUCGUCAGUUACUUGGUCCUCUUGUUUGUCUAAACUCAUUCUAGUAGACUCGUCAGUUACUUGGUCCUCUUGUUUGUCUAAACUCAUUCUAGUCGAGUCGUCAGUUACUUGGUCCUCUUGUUUGUCUAAACUCAUUCUAGUCGAGUCGACAGUUACUUGGUACUCUUGUUUGUCUAAACUCAUUCUAGUCGAGUCGUCAGUUACUUGGUCCUCUUGUUUGUCUAAACUCAUUCUAGUCGAGUCGACAGUUACUUGGUCCUCUUGUUUGUCUAAACUCAUUCUGGUCGAGUCGACAGUUACUUGGUCCUCUUGUUUGUCUAAACUCAUUCUAGUCGAGUCGACAGUUACUUGGUCCUCUGUGUUUCGGUCUCUAUAUCUAGUAUUUGCCAUAACAGGUAGUUGCCAACAUAACGUUUCAGUUAUUUCUUGA
This 1023-nucleotide long non-coding RNA is filed under the name Oncorhynchus mykiss (rainbow trout). RNAcentral describes it as "lncRNA (ENSOMYG00000064488.1)". Lineage: Eukaryota; Metazoa; Chordata; Actinopteri; Salmoniformes; Salmonidae. The record is from RNAcentral.